RNAcentral lists this unclassified non-coding RNA (399 nucleotides) under soil metagenome. RNAcentral's name for it is "partial contains 5.8S ribosomal RNA, internal transcribed spacer 2, and large subunit ribosomal RNA". The stretch from base 1 to 121 matches the Rfam family "5.8S ribosomal RNA", at positions 35 to 154 of the family's 154-position model. The record is from RNAcentral.
GAUGAAAACGCAGCGAAAUGCGAUACUUGGUGUGAAUUGCAGAAUCCCGUGAACCAUCGAGUCUUUGAACGCAAGUUGCGCCUCAAGCCAUUAGGUUGAGGGCACGUCUGCCUGGGCGUCACAUAUCGUUGCCUGAUGCCAGUUUCCUCGUGAUGGGUGACUGUGCAGGGCGAAUGAUGGCUUCCCGUGAGCAUUGUUGCCUCAUGGUUGGUUGAAAAUUGAGUCCUUGGUAGGGAGCGCCGUGAUAGAUGGUGGUUGAGUGACGAACGAGACCCAAUCAUGUGAGACCCCUACCGAAUUUGGCCUUCAUGACCCACAUGCGUCUUUGGAACGCUCAUGACGAGACCUCAGGUCAGGCGGGGCUACCCGCUGAGUUUAAGCAUAUCAAUAAGCGGAGGA